RNAcentral lists this ribosomal RNA (497 nucleotides) under uncultured bacterium. RNAcentral describes it as "partial 16S ribosomal RNA". It matches the Rfam family "Bacterial small subunit ribosomal RNA", at positions 28 to 507 of the family's 1533-position model. The record is from RNAcentral.
GACGAACGCUGGCGGCGUGCCUAAUACAUGCAAGUUGAGCGAUGAAGCUUGGUGCUUGCACCAAUUUGAAGAGCAGCGAACGGGUGAGUAACGCGUGGGGAAUCUGCCUUUGAGCGGGGGACAACAUUUGGAAACGAAUGCUAAUACCGCAUAACAACUUUAAACAUAAGUUUUAAGUUUGAAAGAUGCAAUUGCAUCACUCAAAGAUGAUCCCGCGUUGUAUUAGCUAGUUGGUGAGGUAAAGGCUCACCAAGGCGAUGAUACAUAGCCGACCUGAGAGGGUGAUCGGCCACAUUGGGACUGAGACACGGCCCAAACGCCUACGGGAGGCAGCAGGAGGGAAUCGUCGGCAAUGGACGAAAGUCUGAGCGAGCAACGCCGCGUGAGUGAAGAAGGUUGUCGGAUCGUAAAACUCGGUUGGUAGAGAAGAAAGUGGGUGAGAGUGGAAAGCUCAGCAAGUGACGGUAACUACCCAGAAAGGGACGGCUAACUACGUG